AAUGUCGUAACAAGGUUUCCGUAGGUGAACCUGCGGAAGGAUCAUUAUCGUAACAAAAUUGUGUUGAGGCAUGCAACGGCUGUCGCUGACCAAAAUGUCGUGCACGCCAGGGUGUGUCCUCUCACAUAAAAGUCCAUCUCACCCUUUUUGUGCACCACCGCGUGGGCACCCUUCGGGAUCGAACAGAUCCAGGAGGGGGCCUUGCGUUUUCACACAAACCCCUUUUUUGAAAACGUGUAGAAUGACCCCACUUUUAGCGAUAACACGCAAUCAAUACAA
Molecule: unclassified non-coding RNA, 279 nt
Filed under: plant metagenome
Description: partial contains small subunit ribosomal RNA and internal transcribed spacer 1
Rfam family: Eukaryotic small subunit ribosomal RNA (bases 1-47)
Source: RNAcentral